UAUUCGGUAGCAAUACUGGGUAUUUUUAGUGGCGAAAGGGUGCGUAACACGUGGGUAAUCUACCGUAAAGUUCGGAAUAACUUCGAGAAAUCAAAGCUAAUACCGAAUGUGAUCUGACAGGGACAUCCCUGUUCCAUUAAAGCUAGGGACCUUCGGGCCUGGCGCUUUACGAUGAGCCCGCGCCCUAUCAGCUUGUUGGUGAGGUAAAAGCUCACCAAGGCUAAGACGGGUAGCCGGUCUGAGAGGACGAUCGGCCACACUGGAACUGAGACACGGUCCAGACACCUACGGGUGGCAGCAGUCGAGAAUCAUUCACAAUGGGGGAAACCCUGAUGGUGCGACGCCGCGUGGGGGAUGAAGGUCUUCGGAUUGUAAACCCCUGUCAUUUGUGAACAAACCUUUUGGUUUAAUAGAUCAAAAGCUGAUAGUAGCAAAAGAGGAAGGGACGGCUAACUCCGUGCCAGCAGCCGCGGUAAUACGGAGGUCCCAAGCGUUGUUCGGAUUUACUGGGCGUAAAGGGUGCGUAGGUGGCCAGGAAAGUUUGAUGUGAAAGCUCCGAGCUCAACUCGGAAAAUGCAUUGAAUACUACUUGGCUUGAGGAUCGGAGGGGAGACUGGAAUUCUCGGUGUAGCAGUGAAAUGCGUAGAUAUCGAGAGGAACACCAGUGGCGAAGGCGAGUCUCUGGACGAUUCCUGACACUGAGGCACGAAAGCUAGGGGAGCAAACAGGAUUAGAUACCCUGGUAGUCCUAGCCGUAAACGGUGCACACUUGCUGUAGGAGGAUUCGACCCCUUCUGUGGCGGAGCAAACGCG
RNAcentral lists this ribosomal RNA (813 nucleotides) under Verrucomicrobia bacterium SCGC AAA164-D04. Its description in RNAcentral is "bacterial SSU rRNA". It matches the Rfam family "Bacterial small subunit ribosomal RNA", at positions 70 to 859 of the family's 1533-position model. RNAcentral also lists the same sequence under 8 other names. Lineage: Bacteria; Pseudomonadati; Verrucomicrobiota. The record is from RNAcentral.